CGCGUAGGCGGUCCGACCAGUCAGGUGUGAAAUCCCUCGGCUCAACCGAGGAACUGCGCUUGAUACUAUCGGGCUGGAGUGCAGAAGGGGAGAGUGGAAUUCCCGGUGUAGCGGUGAAAUGCGUAGAUAUCGGGAAGAACGCCGGUGGCGAAAGCGGCUCUCUGGUCUGUAACUGACGCUGAGGCGCGAAAGCUAGGGGAGCAAACAGGAUUAGAUACCCUGGUAGUCCUAGCCGUAAACGAUGUGCACUAAGUAUGGGCCUCUCCCAUGAGGUCCGUGCCGAAGGAAUCUACUAAGUGCACCGCCUGGGGAGUAUGACCGCAAAGGUUAAA
Molecule: ribosomal RNA, 332 nt
Filed under: uncultured bacterium
Lineage: Bacteria
Description: bacterial SSU rRNA
Rfam family: Bacterial small subunit ribosomal RNA
Source: RNAcentral